UAACUACUAACUAGAGGUGACUGGUGUUAUAGUAACUACUAACUAGAGGUGACUGGUGUUAUAGUAACUACUAACUAGAGGUGACUGGUGUUAUAGUAACUACUAACUAGAGGUGACUGGUGUUAUAGUAACUACUAACUAGAGGUGACUGGUGUUAUAGUAACUACUAACUAGAGGUGACUGGUGUUAUAGUAACUACUAACUAGAGGUGACUGGUGUUAUAGUAACUACUAACUAGAGGUGACUGGUGUUAUAGUAACUACUAACUAGAGGUGACUGGUGUUAUAGUAACUACUAACUAGAGGUGACUGGUGUUAUAGUAACUACUAACUAGAGGGUGACUGGCGUUUUAUAGAUUUAGCAUAGCAGCAGGCUAACACUCGUCCUCACCAUGUGGUUUAGCAUAGCGGCAGGCUAACACUCGUCCUCACCA
Molecule: long non-coding RNA, 433 nt
Organism: Oncorhynchus keta (chum salmon)
Lineage: Eukaryota; Metazoa; Chordata; Actinopteri; Salmoniformes; Salmonidae
Exons: 3
Source: RefSeq, a predicted model, not a curated record